AGAUCUUUUAUGAGGGAAGAAGUUUAUUGACGGUACCUCAUGAAUAAGAGGCUCCUAAUCUCGUGCCAGCAGGAGCGGUAAUACGAGAGCCUCGAGCGUUAUCCGGAAUUAUUGGGCGUAAAGGGUAUGUAGGUUGUUUUGUUAGUCUUUUGUUAAAACCACGGGCUUAACCCGUGGAUUGCGGAAGAAACGGCAGAACUUGAAAGUGCGAGAGGUGUACAGAACUCAUGGUGUAGGGGUGAAAUCCGUUGAUAUCAUGGGGAACACCAAAAGCGAAAGCAGUAUACUGGCGCAUAUUUGACACUGAAGCACGAAAGCGUGGGUAGCGAAUGGGAUUAGAUACCCCAGUAGUCCACGCCCUAAACGAUGAUCUCUCGGUUUUCGGAGUAUCGACCCUCUGAGAGCCUUAGCUAACGCGUUAAGAGAUCCGCCUGGGAAGUACGGCCGCAAGGCUAAAACUCAAAGGAAUAGACGGGGACUUGCACAAGCAGUGGAUUAUGUGGUUUAAUUCGAUGGUAAACGAAGAACCUUACCAGGGUUAGAAAUCCUCGUGAAAGCUCUAAGAAACUAGAGCCCUCGCAAGACUAGAGGACAGGUGUUGCAUGGCCGUCGUCAGUUCGUGGUUUGAAUUGUACCCUUAAGUGGGCUAACGAACGCAACCCUCGUUGUGUGUUACAAGUGUCACACGAUACUGCCCCCGCCUUAGUUUUUGAUUUAGAUAAAUCGAAAUUUGAGGCGGGGGAGGAAGGAGAGGAUGACGCCAGGUCAGCAUGACCCUUGAUACCCUGGGCUACACACAUAAUACAAUGGCCAUUACAACGCGCAGCGACGAGGCGACUCUGAGCUAAUCGUUUAAAAAUGGCCCCAGUUCGGAUUGGAGUCUGCAACUCGACUCCAUGAAGCCGGAAUUGCUAGUAAUCGCAGGUCAGCUAAACUGCGGUGAAUACGUUCUCAAGUCUUGUACUCACCGCCCGUCAAGUCAAGGGAGCCGGGAGUACCCGAAGUCUCUACAUAAGUAGGGCCUAAGGUAAAUUCGGUAACAGGGACUAAGUCGUAACAAGGCACGGCUAGCGGAAGCUGGUCGUGGAAUAAUUCAAUU
RNAcentral lists this ribosomal RNA (1099 nucleotides) under bacterium. RNAcentral describes it as "bacterial SSU rRNA". It matches the Rfam family "Bacterial small subunit ribosomal RNA", at positions 429 to 1533 of the family's 1533-position model. The record is from RNAcentral.